AGACUUUGAUCCUGGCUCAGAUUGAACGCUGGCGGAAUGCUUUACACAUGCAAGUCGGGCGGCAGCAUGGACUUCGGUCUGAUGGCGAGCGGCGAACGGGUGAGUAAUGUAUAGGAACAUACCCAGUAAUGGGGGAUAACGCCGAGAAAUCGGUGCUAAUACCGCAUACGCCCUGAGGGGGAAAGCGGGGGAUCUUCGGACCUCGCGUUAUUGGAUUGGCCUAUAUCUGAUUAGCUAGUUGGUGAGGUAAAGGCUCACCAAGGCUUCGAUCAGUAGCUGGUCUGAGAGGAUGAUCAGCCACACUGGAACUGAGACACGGUCCAGACUCCUACGGGAGGCAGCAGUGGGGAAUUUUGGACAAUGGGCGAAAGCCUGAUCCAGCCAUUCCGCGUGAGUGAAGAAGGCCUUCGGGUUGUAAAGCUCUUUCGUCAGGAAAGAAAUCAUUACUCCUAAUACGAGUGAUGGAUGACGGUACCUGAAGAAGAAGCACCGGCUAACUACGUGCCAGCAGCCGCGGUAAUACGUAGGGUGCGAGCGUUAAUCGGAAUUACUGGGCGUAAAGCGUGCGCAGGCGGAUCGUUAAGCAAGACGUGAAAUCCCCGGGCUUAACCUGGGAAUGGCAUUUUUGAACUGGCAGUCUAGAGUGCG
Molecule: ribosomal RNA, 648 nt
Filed under: uncultured bacterium
Lineage: Bacteria
Description: bacterial SSU rRNA
Rfam family: Bacterial small subunit ribosomal RNA
Source: RNAcentral